GACGAACGCUGGCGGCGUGCCUAAUACAUGCAAGUAGAACGCUGAAGGAGGAGCUUGCUCUUCUGGAUGAGUUGCGAACGGGUGAGUAACGCGUAGGUAACCUGCCUGGUAGCGGGGGAUAACUAUUGGAAACGAUAGCUAAUACCGCAUAAGAGUAGAUGUUGCAUGACAUUUGCUUAAAAGGUGCAAUUGCAUCACUACCAGAUGGACCUGCGUUGUAUUAGCUAGUUGGUGGGGUAACGGCUCACCAAGGCGACGAUACAUAGCCGACCUGAGAGGGUGAUCGGCCACACUGGGACUGAGACACGGCCCAGACUACUACGGGAGGCAGCAGUAGGGAAUCUUCGGCAAUGGACGGAAGUCUGACCGAGCAACGCCGCGUGAGUGAAGAAGGUUUUCGGAUCGUAAAGCUCUGUUGUAAGAGAAGAACGAGUGUGAGAGUGGAAAGUUCACACUGUGACGGUAUCUUACCAGAAAGGGACGGCUAACUACGUG
This 495-nucleotide ribosomal RNA is filed under the name uncultured bacterium. RNAcentral's name for it is "partial 16S ribosomal RNA". It matches the Rfam family "Bacterial small subunit ribosomal RNA", at positions 28 to 507 of the family's 1533-position model. The record is from RNAcentral.